Molecule: long non-coding RNA, 528 nt
Organism: Gallus gallus (chicken)
Lineage: Eukaryota; Metazoa; Chordata; Aves; Galliformes; Phasianidae
Exons: 4
Source: RefSeq, a predicted model, not a curated record
GAGAAAAACAAACAUGGCGGCCAUGAGCUGGCUUUCUGUGGUUGGUAAAGCUGUGCUGAGAUCUGGGCUGACUAUUGCAGCUGAAAAUGCAUGCCAAGUCUGCAGACACAGAGGAAUAACUUUUCCCCGCAGGUGGAGCUUGUCUAAGCAAGGAGAGAUUUGAGGUUCUGUUUGGUAAUGGAAGAUGGAGAGAGGAAAAGCUGUGCAUAGCCAGCGCAUCCCAUCUGCACCGUUGUUCCCAUGCACAAAGGAGAGGAGCAUCUCAGCAAGCAUGGCCUGGGCCAUGGAAGGGAGCAUACAGACAUCUGGACCAACCCGAAAGGAGUUAGUUCUGCAGGAAUGUCCCAGAGCAUUGUGGUUUCAGCUGUCACAACGCUUUGAUCCCUUGCUUGCUGGGCUGGGGCGUUUGAGGAAUGAUGCAUGUGCUGAUGUGCAGCCAGGCACUAGGGAUGAGUCUGCUUAGCAAGGAGGGCAGGUGGUGAACCUCAUGAAGCAAUGCCUGCAGACGGGGCUUGCGGAGCAAGAGGU